Molecule: ribosomal RNA, 433 nt
Filed under: uncultured bacterium
Lineage: Bacteria
Description: partial 16S ribosomal RNA
Rfam family: Bacterial small subunit ribosomal RNA
Source: RNAcentral
AACGAACGCUGGCGGCAUGCCUAACACAUGCAAGUCGAACGAGACCUUCGGGUCUAGUUGCGCACGGGUGCGUAACGCGUGGGAACCUGCCCGUAGGCUCGGAAUAACUCCUUGAAGGGGGUGCUAAUACCGGAAAAUGUCUUCGGACCAAAGAUUUAUCGUCCUUGUAUGGGCCCGCGUUGGAUUAGCUUGUUGGUAGGGUAAAAGCCUACCAAGGCGUCGAUACAUAGCUGGUCUGAGAGGAUGAUCAGCCACACUGGGACUGGGACCCGGCCCAGAAUCCUGCGGGAGGCAGGAGUGGGGAAUAUAGGACAAUGGGCGAGAGCCUGAUCCAGCAAUGCCGCGUGAGUGAUGAUGGCCUGAGAGAUGUAAAGCUCGUUUACCCGGGAUGAUAAUGACAGUACCGGGAGAAUAAGCACCGGCUAACUCCGUG